ACAAGCCGUGAAGGUUGCCCUGCGAAGGGGCGGCCUUUCACCUGGCCACCCUUGUUUACUCUUAACCUGUUGCUUUGGUGGGCCCGCCGCCAAGGCCGCCGGGGGACUUUUUGUUCCCGGGUCAGUGCCCACCAAAGACAUAUGAACUCUCAAGGGUUUUUUUGGCUGUCUGAGCUAUGCAAAAUCUUUUA
This 191-nucleotide unclassified non-coding RNA is filed under the name uncultured Ascomycota. RNAcentral's name for it is "sequence contains ITS1". Lineage: Eukaryota; Fungi; Ascomycota. The record is from RNAcentral.